Molecule: long non-coding RNA, 195 nt
Organism: Carassius auratus (goldfish)
Lineage: Eukaryota; Metazoa; Chordata; Actinopteri; Cypriniformes; Cyprinidae
Exons: 3
Source: RefSeq, a predicted model, not a curated record
UUGAAAAGAAAAUUGGAGAUUCACUUUGUUCUGUAGAGUUUCUUUCUGUCCUCCUGAAAUCACAGAACAAUUUGUAUUAAUAUCUGUUUAUCAUGAAAUAUCAAAACUCAUGUGAACUUGUUUUCAGCCGAUUAACGUUAAACUCUCAGUGUAAGUGACGUCAUCGAUUCAGUAAAUCAGCCUUUUCCAAAAAAA